AACGCACCUUGCGCUCCUUGGUAUUCCGAGAAGCAUGCCUGUUUGAGUGUCAUUUAAUUCUCAACCUUACGAAUUUUGUUUGAAAGGCUUGGAUGUGAGGGUUUUGCUGGCUUUAAAAAAUAAGUCAACUCCCUUGAAAUGUAUUAGCAAGUGAUCAGACUUUGUCUAUUGGUGUGAUAACUAUCUACGCCAUUGGAUUGUCUUGAUUUUCCACUGCUUCUAAUUUAAAAGUUGUCUUAUUGACAAUUUUUACUUGACCAUUUGACCUCAAAUCAGGUAGGACUACCCGCUGAACUUAA
RNAcentral lists this unclassified non-coding RNA (299 nucleotides) under uncultured fungus. RNAcentral describes it as "sequence contains ITS2". Lineage: Eukaryota; Fungi. The record is from RNAcentral.